RNAcentral lists this ribosomal RNA (223 nucleotides) under uncultured bacterium. RNAcentral's name for it is "partial 16S ribosomal RNA". It matches the Rfam family "Bacterial small subunit ribosomal RNA", at positions 571 to 793 of the family's 1533-position model. The record is from RNAcentral.
GUAGGUGGAUAAUUAAGUCAGAGGUGAAAUCCUGCAGCUUAACUGUAGAAUUGCCUUUGAUACUGGUUGUCUUGAGUUAUUAUGAAGUGGUUAGAAUAUGUAGUGUAGCGGUGAAAUGCAUAGAUAUUACAUAGAAUACCAAUUGCGAAGGCAGAUCACUAAUAAUAUACUGACACUGAUGGACGAAAGCGUGGGGAGCGAACAGGAUUAGAUACCCUGGUAG